UAGUGUCCUAUUUGUUUUGUCUGUUACAUUUCAAUAACAGCAACAGCAGAGAAUAUCUCUUUAAAGUUCACUGCCUGUUGCUUUAUUGAAUAAUUCAAUGAAAUUUUACUUCAACAAUCUGUCAGUAUUAAGAUGCAAUUUGUCUGCAGCAAAACCUGACAAGGCAACGGCACAGUAGUUUUAAUGGGUUGCAGUUCCAAAGAAUAACCAAGAGGCAUGGUUUAUUGUGCAUGACACUAAUUCAAUAGGCUGUGACUUACGUGGUCUGCAUGAUUGACUGUACUGCCAUUCACAUUAUAGUGUAAUUGCUUGCAGACCAUUUCAAUCAACAUUCAAGUUGAGAUUUUCUCCCGGUACGCAACCAAAGGAAGUCAGACAAAUGUAUUUAAAUAUAAUUGACUGUAUUUACGUUCUGUAUUAGUAAUUGAAUAUAUCCCAUGCAUUCAUCAAAAUAAUGAAUGUUAAGUAUAUCAUUGUUUUUCUAACCAUUUUGAUAACAAUGUCAUCAAUAUGCAAAGGACUCCAGCAGUUUACUCGUUGGGUACAAAUAAAGCCUGGGGAAGAUGCUGGUCAAUCAGUAAACCGUGUCAUUCGAUGUUCAGGAUGCAAACAGUCAGCUACAAGGGAAAAUAAACGCCCCCGACCUAAACUCUCUCGCAAAGGUCCACUGCCUUUCUAAGAUCAGCACACGACUGCACCCAGUACUUAUUUUCUGCAAAGAUCAUGUCCAGUGCCAUCUACGAGCAGAGAAAGCAAGGACAAACAUCCGUUUAGUAUCUCCAUCAGGAGUACAAUCUGUAUUUCUGUUAAAUGCUGAAGAUAUUUGUUUCAGUUGUUUAAAAUAUUGCCACAGAAAGAUCCAAAAAUUUCCAGAUGUGAAUCUGCCACUUCAGAGAAUAUAAUCGAAAGGUCAACAGAAAAUAUAAAAUGUGCUGUGAGACAUUCUGUUCACAACAACCAUAAUUUCAUUUUCUGAUGCAUGCUCCAAAGAGAUCAAUUCUAUCUGUAAACAAGAGAUCUUGUAUCGGCUGUUUCUCGUAACAUAGAGUACAUUAUGAAUAAUUAAAAUGGUUAAGAGACUGCUUUAAAAAUAGUAAUCAACUGACUUUUAAAAAUACCAAUAAUCGUUCAACAAAAUUCAUCAUUAAAAGUUAUUGCGUAAAUGAAAUAUUCCCAAUUAGAGGAUCUACUUGAAUUAUUUACGGUUUCUUAAACGCUGGAUAAUUGCGAGCAGAUUAGUAUUUCAAUAUUAUCAAAGAUUCAGAUCUCAUUAUAUUAGCCAUUUAUACUUAACAUUUUCAAGAAUGUGAUUUAAAAAGAUGCAACUUCUUGUUCAGUCUACACUGUAGCCACUCCCCAAUGCAACAUACAGUAGAAUGCACCAAAACGUAUCAACCAUUUUUAAAAUUCUGUCGCACACAAUUCAUGAAUAAAUUGAUAAUGUAAGUAAACGGUAGAAAUAUAAUUGAGAACAUUCAGAAAUGAAUAUAUUCAAAUAGUUAAAUUGGUUAAAAAUAUUUCAAAUUUUAGCAUAAAUAUGCAAUUUCUCUAUUUUAAAAGUGGGUUUGUUGAUUGCUUCUUUUUUCAAGCACUUCUGUAAUGCCACAGGUUUAGAACUUAGAAUAUCAUAAAUUCACACAAUUAAUACUGUGCCCUUUGGGCUAAAUAGAUCUUAAGAUUCCAGAAUAAUUGGUAGGAUGGGGAGUAGUGUGGACUAGUGCAAGUGGGUUCUUGAUGGUCAACUUGGACUCAUUGAGCUAAAAGGCCAAACCUCCUUAUUAUGACAUUAUAUUGAAAAUUAUUUUUUUCGCUGAUCGAAAAAAUAAUCAGAGGUCAAAAUUGUUUUGCAAAAUGGGCCACGGAAAAUCAGAACUAGAUUUAAUUAUUUAUUUGCUUCUUUUUGUUACUGGAACAACCUGGUUAGAUCUAAAAGAUUUAGAACAUUUUAACUUGGCACCUGAUCAAACUCUAUUUUUUGUAGUUAGUAAUAGCCAAUCAUUGAUGGAGUAUGCUUUUUAUACAUUUGCAGUACAGAAAUAGCCAUCUUGUGUUUUUCCUGAUGCAUCCCUUCCCUGUUUUUUUCAGAAUGAUAAUAUUUUCUCACAAGGUAAUCUGUCACAUCACCCUCUUCAAUUGCAAGUUUUUAUUUGCUGUCUAGAUUGGACACUCAAGGCUCUAUUAAUUACAUCGAGAUCUGAAUAAAACUUCCUUCAAUACCAAAUAAAACAAUAACCAUCUAGUUGUGACGAAGUUCUGCAUCAAAAAAAUGUUUCCUCGACGGAAUUGUUAAUUUGCGGCUUUGGAUGUUUUAAAUAGAGAGCUGAGAGUUCAAAGGUACUGAAAAUGUAAUGAUUUGUAAAUGCGGUAGAGAAGACAUGCUCAAAGUUCACUUUGUAUUGAUUAUCUAUUUAGCUGUGAUAAUUCUCUCAACCCACUGCUGUCAAAACGUUAUCAUUGGAUUUGCUGUUGUUGUAUAUCACAAAAUCUCUAUCUUGUUAUGGCAGUAAAACAAUGCUUUGAAGUCUCCUCUUAAAAUCUCUGGAUAACUAUCCCAUUCAUACUUUUCCAGUUUGUUAAUCACAGUCUCCAGAGAUUUUCCUCCAAUCCCAGUUCAACAAAUCUGUGCACAUUUUCUGCAUGACCGCAGACAUAACUUUUUUCCCUCAUCAUGACAUGUGCAUUCUCACCUGUUCUGGCUUUUCCUGCCAUAAUUUGCAAAUAAUCUGAUAUUUAGUACAGAUGUAGAGCUUUAUAUUUCCCUCUGUCAUCACAAUAGUUAGGGCCUUUGGUCGAAGCUGUUCUCGUGUAAGUAACUUGUUUCACUCCAUCAACUUCUAGCAGAUAUAGGAUUAAGGUAUGGGAAACACUGUAGACUGUGGCAACAUGUCUUUAUAACAUUGCUAUAAUUAAAGCAACAAAUGGCACCCGCUACUAUACACAUCUUGCGUACUAUCCUUAUUCAAUCAUCUCAAGUUCCACACACUAUGGCAUUACAAACAACAGCAUCCUCUUCCAAUACAGUAUCUCAACUGCUCAUGACUCUUAGUUGCAAAUUGAGUCCAUUAGAACAUUUUUUCUGGAAUUCCCUACCUAAACUCAUCUCUCCAUUUUCCUGGAGAAACAAGGAACUACAGAUACUGAUUUACAAAAAAUGGCACAAUGUGUUAAAGUACCUCAGUGGGUCAGGCAGCAUCUCUGGGAAGCAUAGAUAGGGUCGGGAUCCAACUGUGGACUGAUUGUGGUGGAAGGGAAAGAAAGCUGGACGAAAGGAUGGCCAGGACAAAGCCUGACAAGUAAUGGGUGGUUACAGGCGAGGGGGGGUUGAUCGGCAGAUGGCUAGACAGAGGUAAAAAGGCACAAACCCUCCGACUUCCACAUUUAUCUGGACUACACCUCCUCCCGCCAGCCUCUUCAAAGAUGUAAUUCCCUACUCACUAUACUUCAAUUUCUGCUGUACCUGCUUACAAGAUGAGGCUUUCCAUUCUAGGAUCAAGAUGUCCUCUAUUUGUUUUAGUAAUUGUGGUUCCUCACUGCUACCAUAUGUGUAUCCCUCACCCGCUUCUUGUCCGUGCCCAGUAGUUCUGCUCAUGCUCCCCCUCCUCCAGGUGGAACAUGGAUAGACAUCCCAUGAUCCUCACCUGGCACUUCAAUCGUGGCUGCAUCCAACACACCAUUCUCCAACACAUCAUGUUGGGAUCACCUCCAACAUGAUCCAAACACCAGUCACAUCUUCCAAUCCCCUUUCCGCCUUCCGCAGAGACCAACUCCGCGGCUCACUCAUCCCUUCCCACCCAAACCAACCCUUUCCCACAUUAUUUCUCCAGCAACCGCAAGAUAUUCAACACCUCGCCCUGUACCUCCUGAUAUCCACCCAGCAUUUGGUCCACAUGAGACAGAGGUUUAUAUUCAUCUACUGCAUCUGGUGUUUCUGAUGUGGCCUCCACUGCACCUUCGGAUGCAUGUGACAAAUAAAAUUGACUUUGACUUUGCAUCGACAAGACCAAAAAAUCGGUGACGUUUCAUUCUACACUUGUGUUCGGUCUGCCAAGUUGCUUACCAUUCCAACUCUCCAUUCCAUUCUGACCUUUCUGUCCUGGGCCUCUUCCAUUCCCAGAGUAAGGCCACACGCAAGCAAUUUUAUAUGUCAACCUGCAACACCCCUCCCCCACCCCGUGCCCACUCAUUUCUUCCCUCUAUCUAUAUUCCUUACUCUGGCUUCACAAUUAUCAACUAUUCAAUCCAUUUGUCUCAUACCUUUUGACCAACCAUCUGCCUGUCAACCUGUCACUUGCCAGGCUUUGCCCUGCACCUCCUCUCUACCAGCUUUCUGCCCCCCACCACAAUCAGUCUAAAUAAGGGUCCCGACCCGAAACAUCAUGGUCUCCAGAGAUGCUGUCUGAUCCACUGAGUUACUCCAGCACUUUGUAAAUUUUCUUUCUCCAUUUUACCUUUAUUCUUUAAUUUCACCAAACUAUUAGUUAACCAUUCCAAUAUCCUUUGUUGACUGUGUUAAUUCUUGACUGUCUACAUUUUGGUGAAGCUUCAUGAGAUAUUUUCAUUACAAUUACACCAAUGUCUGUCCUACUGGUUAGUAAUAGCCUUAUUCAAGGAAUUCUAUUAACAAUGGUUUUAAAUUUCUCCCGAAUCACCCUCUCUACAGGUUGGUAGGUUAAUUGGCCACUAUAAAUUAUCUCAAUUGUGUAAAUGAACGAUAGAAUCAAGAGUAGUGAAUAAAAUGGGAUUAGUGUAGGACUCGUCUAAGUAGGUGCUUGAUGGUCAGCUUGGUCUUAUUGAACCAAAAGGCAUGUCUCCGUGCUACAUCACUGCAUGACUCUCUGACAGUUAAUCUCAGCUCUUUCUUUUCCUAGACUUAUGUGUUUCCAUUAACAAAUUGUAGGAGCAAUUUAUUUAAAGCUAACCUCAAAAGCUAACUUUUGAUUAACGUAUAAAAAUCUUUCAUAUUAAAUCUAAUGCAAUUUUACAUAUUAAAGUUAUUAAAAAAUAUUUUUUCUCUGGACACUGGCAGACGCUAAGAUCCCCAGCAAAAUGUUACAAAAUCACAAUUUUGAUAUCACACAUCAGACCUGUCAUGGGAUUUUUCUAUUUCCUAUUCAUCCAAAGCAGGUUCUCAGCCAAGAGGUUGGGAAGAAAAAGUAACUAUGAAAUUGUUGCUUAUGUAAAUUUUCAUAUUUUAAUUAAAACAUGCUAAUUAAAACAAUUAAAUAUUUUUGACCAAUUCAAAGCCAAUUUAAUCAUUUUUAAGGAUCUCUCACUAUUGAAUAAUUUUAACAAUAUUCCAUCUGAGACCCACUAUACCUCCUAGAUUUAGAAGGGCAGCUCCAUCAAACCAUUGCAUCCAGCACAAUUAAAAACCACAGCUGGCGAUCCGGAUUCAAAUUAAUUCCACCUUAAUUUAUCUAUAAACUCUUUAAAGGGAUGUUUAUGCCCACACGUGGCUGUGCCAUCUUUUUAUCUUGUCUUCCUCAUCUGUAAUGAUAUCCCUGCUUGAUAAAUGGGUAUACAAAAAACAUUUUUUAUAUUCAGUUUCUAUCUAAAAUUGUGUU
Molecule: long non-coding RNA, 5564 nt
Organism: Leucoraja erinaceus (little skate)
Lineage: Eukaryota; Metazoa; Chordata; Chondrichthyes; Rajiformes; Rajidae
Exons: 3
Source: RefSeq, a predicted model, not a curated record